This 493-nucleotide ribosomal RNA is filed under the name uncultured Flavobacterium sp. RNAcentral's name for it is "bacterial SSU rRNA". It matches the Rfam family "Bacterial small subunit ribosomal RNA", at positions 9 to 491 of the family's 1533-position model. The record is from RNAcentral. Lineage: Bacteria; Pseudomonadati; Bacteroidota; Flavobacteriia; Flavobacteriales; Flavobacteriaceae.
GAGUUUGAUCGUGGCUCAGGAUUAACGCUAGCGGCAGGCAUAAUACAUGCAAGUUGAACGAGAUAAGUUGUAGCAAUACGGCUUUGAAAGUGGCGCACGGGUGCGUAACACGUAUGCAACCUACCUUUUACAGGGGGAGUAGCCUCUCGAAAGAGAGAUUAAUACCCCACUAAUAUAUUUGUUGGGCGAUCUAAUAGAAUAUUAAAGACUGAGGCGGUAAAGAUGGGCGAUGCGGCUGAUUAGGUAGUUGGUGAGGUAAUGGCUCACCAAGCCGACGAUCAGUAGGGGUCGUGAGAGGAUGUCCCCCACCACUGGUACUGAGACACGGACCAGACUCCUACGGGAGGCAGCAGUAGGGAAGUAUUGGACAAUGGGCGCAAGCCUGAUCCAGCCAUGCCGCGUGCAGGAUGAAGGCCCUAUGGGUCGUAAACUGCUUUUGUACGGGAAGAAACCUCACUACGUGUAGUGAGUUGACGGUACCGUGAGAAUAAGG